UUGCCGUUGGGAGGGCGCCGCGCGCCGGCCGCGUCCCUGCCGGUGCCACCUGGAAACGGCGAGGCGCUCCCCGGCGCUUCCCGGCGCUCCCCGGCGCUUCCCGGCGGCCGCCCUCGCCCCGCCUGCCCUGAGCGGCCUCGGGGUGCUGCUGCUGGAGCUCUAUUCUGAUCUUGUUCCCUCAGCCCUUCCUGCCAGAUUUUAACGUUUUUAUGAUAUGGAAUAAUCAUCUUGAAAGUAUGUUAAGUAAACGUAUAUACAGUCAGUGAUUCAUUCUCCAGAGUUUAUCGUUUAUGCGGUUUAAAAAGCUGCCGAUUGGCCAUGAGUUCAUCUUCUCCAGUCAACUACUCUGUCACAGAAGCUAGAAGGCUCCCUUCAGGUACUGGAAGGCCACAAUUAGGUCACCCUGAAGCAUUCUCUUUUCCAGGCUUACAUAGUGAGGAAUGUGAGUUACUACAGAAGAGCAAUGACUCAGAAUUGGAUGCUGUUUUAGGUCUGAGAUGGAAACUUCUUCAAGCUAAAAAAGAAAAUUUGGACUUAACUAUUCAACACAAUCAAGAAGUGUCCAACUAUGAAAAGCAGAUAAUCAAAUUACGGUCAGAAUUUGAGAGAGGAGAGGCUGUUCGACAAGGCCUGGAGUAUGAAUUGGCAGUUGCCAGAAAAGGUGCCCAUCUGAAAAUGUGUACUGCAGAACAAGAAUUAAAUGAUGCAAAAAACAAACUUGUGGAAUUGCAAGUAUUCAAUGAAAAUCUUCAGCAGAAAGUGACAGAGACUGAGAAAACAUUUCAUAAUGCUCAACAGAAGUGGGAAGAAGAACAGCAAAGACUUGCAAGGGCAAAGGAUGAUAUCAGCAGAAUUUAUAACAAUGAAUAUGUAUGCCUUCUUAAGGAAAGAAAUGAAGUAGAAACGAUUUUACUGGAGCUGAAUAAUGAACUGCAAAAUAUACGCAAGAAAUUGAAAGAUGUGGAGGUGGAACACAGUGGCUGUAAUGAGGUGCUGAGAUACCAGGCCAAUGAACUUAAAUGCAGCACUGAACGAGAGAAGAAACUUAAAGAGGAACUUGAAGCAGCUGCACUAAGAACAAAGAAACUGGAAGAAAACAUUGAAGCCGAGAGAGCAGCACAUUUAGCAUCCAAUUUUACUUCAGAGAUCAUCCAGUUAAGAAUUCAAGAACUUGAAGAAGCUGUGCAUGUGGAAAAGGACAGACGACAAGAAGCUCUUUCAGAUUUAGAAAGGAUCAAGAAAGAGUUCAAAGGGUUAGAAUAUGCAUAUGAGAGAGAAAAACACAAUGCCCAAGAGAACUUGGAAAAACUCAAUGUAUUAGAAAGAGAGUGUUUCUCCUCAAACAAUCAAAUGAAAGAAGUGAUUGAGGAAAAGAAGAAGGUAAUUAUAGACCUCUCUGAGAGACUAACGAAUGCUGAAAAAAGCUGCAGAGAAUUACAGAGUGAACUUACAAUGGCCAAGAAACACCAGGUCUUUCUAACAGAGACGUAUGAAAACAACAUGAGAGAGCUGGAGUUACUCUUGGACAGCUUUGCUAUGUCAGGCCAGCGGACAGCAGGCACUUGUGAGGACAAAGAUAAACCUCUGAGCUGGUCUGUCGUUGAGACUUUGAGGUGUACCUUGACAGCUUACCAGAACAAGCUGGAAGAUAUGUCUAAUGAGCUUGAGAAAACAAAGACUUUGUGUAAAAAGAUGACAAAAGAACUUGAUGUAUCUGAGGAGAAAAUGUGUGCUUUAAGACAAGACCUUAAGGAAGCUCAGGAUACUAUGGCUGAUGCCAAUAAAGAGUUAAACCAUCUGCACGCUAAGUGUGCAAACAGAGAGACUUUAAUAGAAACUUUAAAAAUGGAACUACAGGAUGUACAGCAAUGCUGGGAGAAAGAGCAAGUACGUGCCACAGAAUCUGAAAAUGAAAUCCAGAAGCUUACCACGGCUUACCAGAAGGAUAUAGAGGAGAAGCUAACCUUCCUUCAUAGCUUAUAUCAGCAUUUGAUAGCAGGCUGUGUGCUUAUAAAACAACCAGAAGGCAUUCUAGAUAGAUUCUCUUGGCCUGAGCUUUGUGUAGUGUUGCAGGAGAAUGUUGAUGCCCUGAUCUCAGACCUCAACAGGGCUAAUGAGAAGAUAUCUCACCUGGAAUAUAUUUGUAAAAACAAAUCCAAUACUAUGAAAGAGCUUCAGCAGAGCCAGGAAGAUGCUUUUAACAAAAUGGCUGAACAGAUGAAAGCACAGGCAAGCUGUUGGCAGAAUGAAAAAAAGUAUCUGGAACAGCAGUACUCAGGUCUCCUUGGGGAAGUUCAUGCAAGGGCACAGGAAUACCAAGAAGCAGCAGAGAAAAAUAUGGAAAAAAUUUAUGUCCUUGAAAAAAGUCAAGAGAAAUUGGCUCUUGAAAGCAUAUCUGUGAAAAAGAUGUUAACACAGUUUCAGAAGGAGCAUUCCUCGCUCCUGGCAGCCUGUGCGCUAUUGGCAGGUGCCCUGUAUCCUCUGUAUGGCCGAUUGUGUGCUAUGUCUUACCAAAGAGACCUUCUCCAGGAUCAGGUGAACAUUUAUGAAUUAGUGAACCAGAAGAUUAAGACACUAGUUUAUGCUCUCUCUGAUGAUAAGGAAAACAAUCAAGAUGAAGCAAAACUAAAGAAAAGAAAAUCCCAAGGCCUGAUUUAUGUAUUCCGAAGAGCUGUGAUUGCAGUUUUGGCAGCCAACAGACUUAAAGUUUUAGCACAGUCUUCUAGUUCCCUCUUCACCUGGACAAAUGGCUUAAAAGAAGGCAUUGGAAUUCCAGUUUGUGUAGGAGAAUCCAAAGGCAAGCAUAAUCUGUCAAGUUGUGAAGAGGAGGAUCUUGACUGUGUGGAAACACUCAGCUGGUUUGCUAGUUCCAACCUCCUUGCUGCAAUAAUCAGUUCUGUCACUGAAUUGCAGGAUGUUGUUAACAAACCAGGUACAAAGUUCUGGCUUUCUGGAAGGUUACUUUUAAAUGCAGCCAGGAAUUCAUUUUCAAAACUUAUGGACAAGCUGAAUGUUAUAAUGGAGGCGGUUCCAUUAGACCACAGAAAGUACAAUCCUUGUCUGGAGAAAGACUCGUUGGUUCAGAGCCUGGCUUAUGGACUUAAUAAAAUAAAUACCCAGGCCAUGGAAGCUGGAGUGUGUGACAGAGUAUCCAGUAUGAAAAACAUAGAAUCCUUGCAGAAGCAAAUAUUUGAAUUUACACAAAGGCUUCAUGCAGCAGAAGUGGAACGCCGCUCACUGCGCUUUCGACUUGCAGAAUUCAAAUCGAAUUUCAGUGAGAUGAAAAAAGAAGCAGAUAAAGCCCAGAGCCUGCAAGAGCAAUUAAAUAUACUUAAGCAAAAAUUGAUCACCCAUGAGAGGUUUGAAAGUGUAUGUGAAGAAUUAAAUAAUGCAUUACAUCGGGAGCAUCAGGCACAGUUGCUUUUGAAUGAACAAGCACAACAGCUACAGGAGUUAAAUAAUAAGCUAGAAUUGCAAUCCAGUGAAGAAGCAAAUAAAACCCAAAUCUUAAGUGAAUCUGUAAAGAGUCUCUCCGAGGCAACAGUGGAGCUGAGAAGAAGAGAUCGAUUUCUGCAUCAGCAAAAUAGACUUCUUACCCAGCUGGAGCAGGACAAGAGUCGACUGAGCAAGAGCAUCCGUGAUGCAGAGAGUGCCCUCUGCAUGGCAGCAAAAGAAAGAGAAUUGAUCAUUAGUCAUAUGAAAGUUGUAGAAGACACUCUUCAUAAGGUCAGAGAUCAGGCCUUGCUGCCGUGUUCUGCAGCAGCCACGAAUGACUUCACCCUGGAGCUACCCAAACUGCACCUGGAGACCUUUUCAGAGGAAGGGCUGAAGGGCAGGCCAGAGGCUGCAGCAUUUCAGGCUGUAAUUAAAAGUUUCGUGGAAGUCUACCAACUUGCAGUUUCCAGAGUUGAAAUGUUAGUGAGAGAAACAAAAUCUCUUCAGCUUCACAUUGCAGCCCUAAGGUCCAGGCUCCAAACAGCUGGUCUUCAUGAAAGUGACAUUACAAAUGGCAUCCUCGCACACCUAAGUGUCCUGUAUUCUGGUGGAUUAGAGAUCAGAUUUUAGCCUUGUAAUUCAGCAAUUUUAUGUCAUUUACACUGAGAUAUAACAAUGAACUUCUUAUUACACCUGCUUCAUCACACAGGAAACAAGAGGUAGUUCAAGCAUUAGUGUGGCUCCAAGGUAGAAGUUCAGCCUGACCAGAGUUCUAUCCUAGACUUUUUGGCAUUGCAAGCUGAACUUGACACGUCCUACAGUGCUAUGCAAAAGAGAGACAGUUCUCUGUCUUCAAUCUGUUUCUUCAGCCUGGAUGUCACAUCCAAUCCCAGAAGAACAAUGGAAAAUGGAUUUUCAGAUUCUUAGUAUCAAUAAUCUUCUAGAAGGGAAAAAUUGUAUUAAUGUAAAAUGAUGCAAUUAAAGUGUAAUUUUUUUGCUAUAUUUGAGUUGUAGUUCAGCGUUUGUAUUUUUUGACAUUAAUUUUACAGUUUUAUGAAAAUGUGCAUUUGUAUGUUCACAUUUCUGUACUUGUCAGUUUUUGCAUACUGAAGCAGUUAUUUCUUUAAACUUUUAUUUAUUGCAGUUGUUUAUUUUUUAUGUAGUAUAUUUUUAAAUGUUAAAGAAUGGCACAUUUUGGGUAAUUUUCCUCAGUCUUAAAAAAAAAAUCAAUAAGCCAUUUUAGUCUCUAUCUAUCAAAGUUGUUUCAUACUUGUCUAUUUUAAAGCAGGACUGCAAUACUUUAAUAGGAUUGAGAGAGCUAUUUGAAAUGUAUGCCAAUGAUUCCUGUCAUUUCAUGGCAGCCCUGCCAUGGUUCACUGAGCCCCCUCUUUUCUCUUGUCAGCUCAACUGAAGACAAGCAUUUAGUUGCAAACUUUAAGCAGGUUGUGCAAAACAGAAAUGAUGUGACUGCUUCUCUUCCUGCACAAUAAUGUCACUGCUGGUCAAUGUGAGAAGGUCAGGUUGCUCCUUGUAAAGCUACAUGAUACCACUUGCCUAUUUGAACAAGUUAAGUUAACCACUGAAUCUGGUCCCUGCAGGCGCUGAAAACUCACCCUUUUAUCAAGUCUGCAUUUCAUAAGAAAGAAGAACAAUUGUGGAGGGAGGAUUUCUGAUGAUAUGUUUAUAUACUUUAUAAGGACAGUUCCCAAACCAGUGUUGCAGGUAAUGUAUUUAGUUUAAACUGAAAGACUAAAAAGUAAUGGCUGUUUUGACCUUCAAAUAGACUCCUUUUUUGUUGUUGUUGGUAGGACCCAAGAGUGACGCCCAUCUUUGAUGCUGACAGAAUUUAAAGCAAGGCCAUUGCCCUGCAUUUUCUGCCUUGUAGCACACAAAAGUAAAAUUGUAUGUCAGGCCGAGAUGUCGGGGAGCUGACAAGAUGCCCCAGUGACAUUUCAGCUGGAAAGAGCAAGUGUCUUGCAACCAAGUGGUCAAAUAUCAAAUAAUAGGUCAAGCAGGAAGGAGCUGAGUUCUAACCACAAAGAGGUUUCUGGUAACUUACUUGACAAGCUUUUGGGUGCUUUGUGGCUUGACAAAGUGAUGUUCUGUUGGGUAUCGCUAGACAGACUGUUCUUUAUUGCCUUCAGAAGAUCAGACAUUGACAUUGAUUAAACUCUUUAACCCUUAAAGGUUAAAUCCUAGCAUUUUCAUCAUUGUGAAUGAAGAACAAAAGGAAUUUUUUAAUAUACCAUUGGUUUCAUAUUAAUCACAAAUCCCUAGUGCUAUUAACUUUUGAUGUGCUGUGUAGUUUUUGACAAAAAAAUUGAAUGCAAAAUCUAUAUAAUAGAUUGUUUCGCAGUAUGGGCCAGUGAUACAUUAGAAAAAUAAUAUUAUGCAUUAUGGAAUUUGCAAUAUCUUCUAAUAUGUCAAAUGUAGGAUUUGAUUUUAAAGCUUCGUGACUACUGCUGAAAUUCCAUUUUGGAUGGAAAAGAAUAUUUGCAUAAAUGAUGUAUCACUUAAGAUAAACAAAUCUUUCAACUACCCUUGUUUUCAGGUACUCUAGAAUCAUAGAAUAUCCUGAGAAUGAAGAGACCCACAAUGAUCAUCAUGUCCAAAUCCUAGCCCUGCACAGGACAAUCCAGUGAGUCACACCUUGUGCCUGAGAACACUGUCCAAAUGCUUCUUGAACUCCCUUAGGCUGGUGCUGUGACUGCUUCCCAGGGGAGCCUAUACCAGUGCCCAACCACCCUCUGGGUGAAAACCUUUCCUUGAUAUCCCGCUUAAACCUCCUCUGUCACAACUUCAGGCCAUUCUCUUGGGUCCUGUCACUGGUCACUACAGAGAAGACAUCAGUGCCUGCCCCUCCUCUUUUCCUCUUGAGGAAGUUAUAGACUACAGUGAGGUCUCCCCUCAGUCUUCGUCUCCAUGCUGAACAAACCUAGCCACUCCUAAUAUACCUUUAAAUUUUCAACAGAAGACCACAAUCUAAGGUGGCUUCAAAUUUUCAGGUAUUCUGUAUUGUGCAGUCCAUUGCUCACAGCCUUGAUGUGCAUGUAUGUGUGUAUAAUGAUACAGAGCCAUGAAAUGCCAAAUAAAUCCUGACUAACUCUUACAUGUAAGAGUCAGAACGUUCAUGACAAGAGGAAGAACAUUCCUUUAUGUAUUUAGUCUUAAAUACCAAAGAAAAAAAUUUUUGUUUACCUCCAAGUGUCUUGGCUCCACUCUUCCCGUGACAGUGACUGUUCUUAAAGGCACCACAAAUACAGU
Molecule: RNA transcript, 6699 nt
Organism: Prinia subflava (tawny-flanked prinia)
Lineage: Eukaryota; Metazoa; Chordata; Aves; Passeriformes; Cisticolidae
Gene: CCDC171
Gene name: coiled-coil domain containing 171
Exons: 27
Source: RefSeq, a predicted model, not a curated record